RNAcentral lists this ribosomal RNA (440 nucleotides) under uncultured bacterium. Its description in RNAcentral is "partial 16S ribosomal RNA". It matches the Rfam family "Bacterial small subunit ribosomal RNA", at positions 338 to 795 of the family's 1533-position model. The record is from RNAcentral.
CCUACGGGAGGCAGCAGUGGGGAAUAUUGCACAAUGGGGGAAACCCUGAUGCAGCAACGCCGCGUGAGUGAAGAAGUAUUUCGGUAUGUAAAGCUCUAUCAGCAGGGAAGAAGAUGACGGUACCUGAUUAAGAAGCCCCGGCUAACUACGUGCCAGCAGCCGCGGUAAUACGUAGGGGGCAAGCGUUAUCCGGAUUUACUGGGUGUAAAGGGAGCGUAGGCGGCAGUGCAAGUCUGGCGUGAAAUCCCGGGGCCCAACCCCGGAACUGCGCGGGAAACUGGGCGGCUUGAGUGCUGGAGAGGCAGGCGGAAUUCGUGGUGUAGCGGUGAAAUGCUUAGAUAUCAGGAGGAACACCGAUUGCGAAGGCAGCCUGCUGGAGUGCAACUGACGUUGAGGCCCGAAAGCGUGGGUAGCGAACAGGAUUAGAUACCCGGGUAGUC